RNAcentral lists this transfer RNA (65 nucleotides) under uncultured Anaerotignum sp. It matches the Rfam family "tRNA", at positions 5 to 66 of the family's 71-position model. From Rfam's summary of the family: Transfer RNA (tRNA) molecules are approximately 80 nucleotides in length. Their secondary structure includes four short double-helical elements and three loops (D, anti-codon, and T loops). Further hydrogen bonds mediate the characteristic L-shaped molecular structure. tRNAs have two regions of fundamental functional importance: the anti-codon, which is responsible for specific mRNA codon recognition, and the 3' end, to which the tRNAs corresponding amino acid is attached (by aminoacyl-tRNA synthetases). tRNAs cope with the degeneracy of the genetic code in two manners: having more than one tRNA (with a specific anti-codon) for a particular amino acid; and 'wobble' base-pairing, i.e. permitting non-standard base-pairing at the 3rd anti-codon position. The record is from RNAcentral. Lineage: Bacteria; Bacillati; Bacillota; Clostridia; Lachnospirales; Anaerotignaceae.
UCAGUGGUUUAAUGGUAGAACAUCAGCCUUCCAAGCUGAGAGCGAGGGUUCGAUUCCCUUCUGGU